AACCAUUCUCACCUGCGGCUAGACCUGCGGAGGGAUCAUUACCGAGUUAGGGUAGUUAUUCACUGCCCGACCUCCCAACCCUGUGUCUACCACACCUUGUCGUUGCUUCGGCGGACCGGUCGACCAACUGUCGUGACCGCCGGGGGCUGGCUCUGUCCCCCCUGGAGAGCGUCCGCCGAUGGCCCAACCACAAACUCUUGUACCGAAACGUGUCGUCUGAAUAAUUGAGAAAUCAAAUAU
This 240-nucleotide unclassified non-coding RNA is filed under the name soil metagenome. RNAcentral describes it as "partial contains 5.8S ribosomal RNA, internal transcribed spacer 2, and large subunit ribosomal RNA". The record is from RNAcentral.